This 1400-nucleotide ribosomal RNA is filed under the name uncultured bacterium. RNAcentral describes it as "bacterial SSU rRNA". It matches the Rfam family "Bacterial small subunit ribosomal RNA". The record is from RNAcentral.
UUAGAGUUUGAUCCUGGCUCAGGAUGAACGCUAGCGGCAGGCUUAACACAUGCAAGUCGAGGGGCAGCGAGAUCAGUGCUUGCACUGAUUGUCGGCGACCGGCGCACGGGUGCGUAACGCGUAUGCAACCUACCCAUUACAGGGGGAUAACACUGAGAAAUCGGUACUAAUACCCCAUAACAUCCAGGGAGGCAUCUUCUUGGGUUGAAAACUCCGGUGGUAAUGGAUGGGCAUGCGUUGUAUUAGUUAGUUGGUGGGGUAACGGCUCACCAAGACAACGAUACAUAGGGGGACUGAGAGGUUAAACCCCCACAUUGGUACUGAGACACGGACCAAACUCCUACGGGAGGCAGCAGUGAGGAAUAUUGGUCAAUGGACGCAAGUCUGAACCAGCCAUGCCGCGUGCAGGAAGACGGCUCUAUGAGUUGUAAACUGCUUUUGUACGAGGGUAAACGCAGAUACGCGUAUCUGUCUGAAAGUAUCGUACGAAUAAGGAUCGGCUAACUCCGUGCCAGCAGCCGCGGUAAUACGGAGGAUUCAAGCGUUAUCCGGAUUUAUUGGGUUUAAAGGGUGCGUAGGCGGUCGGAUAAGUUAGAGGUGAAAUCCCGGGGCUCAACUUCGGAAUUGCCUCUGAUACUGUUCGGCUAGAGAGUAGUUGCGGUAGGCGGAAUGUAUGGUGUAGCGGUGAAAUGCUUAGAGAUCAUACAGAACACCGAUUGCGAAGGCAGCUUACCAAGCUACUUCUGACGUUGAGGCACGAAAGCGUGGGGAGCAAACAGGAUUAGAUACCCUGGUAGUCCACGCAGUAAACGAUGAUAACUCGUUGUCGGCGAUACAGUGUCGGUGACUAAGCGAAAGCGAUAAGUUAUCCACCUGGGGAGUACGUUCGCAAGAAUGAAACUCAAAGGAAUUGACGGGGGCCCGCACAAGCGGAGGAACAUGUGGUUUAAUUCGAUGAUACGCGAGGAACCUUACCCGGGCUUGAAAGUUAGUGACGGAUCUUGAAAGAGGUCUUCCCUUCGGGGCACGAAACUAGGUGCUGCAUGGUUGUCGUCAGCUCGUGCCGUGAGGUGUCGGGUUAAGUCCCAUAACGAGCGCAACCCCUACCGUUAGUUGCCAGCAGGUCAAGCUGGGCACUCUGACGGGACUGCCGGUGUAAGCCGAGAGGAAGGUGGGGAUGACGUCAAAUCAGCACGGCCCUUACGUCCGGGGCUACACACGUGUUACAAUGGCAGGUACAGAGGGCAGCUACCCAGCGAUGGGAUGCGAAUCUCGAAAGCCUGUCUCAGUUCGGAUUGGAGGCUGAAACCCGCCUCCAUGAAGUUGGAUUCGCUAGUAAUCGCGCAUCAGCCAUGGCGCGGUGAAUACGUUCCCGGGUCUUGCACACACCGCCCGUCAAG